Folsomia candida is the source of this 803-nucleotide long non-coding RNA. RefSeq lists it as uncharacterized. The transcript is spliced from 3 exons. The record is from RefSeq and is a predicted model, not a curated record. Lineage: Eukaryota; Metazoa; Arthropoda; Collembola; Entomobryomorpha; Isotomidae.
UUGAACAGCUUUUUGAGUCUGAAUACGAAUUUUAUACCCAUUUUGACGUGCGUCACUCCGGUAAUCGUGUGGACGACGUCAAAUUUCAAAGCCGAAAACAGUUGGGGCGUGUCAAUUUUAAUUGAUUUUCAAUGCUGAAUGCGAAUAUGAUACCCGUUUUGACGUAUGUACGAUACACUGAUUUCACCCCGUAGUUACAUGCGUUGUAACGGUUUAUUGAUAUUACACGCAUCACAUACCAUAUAUAAUAUGUGCAUAUAGAGAAAAUGAAAACUCAUUCAUAUGACAGCGAGGAAAAUGAAGCUUUCAAAAGUGAAGGGAUGUUUUUAUAAAAAUUUGUUCAUAUUUGAAAGUAGAAGUUGGUAUAUAGCGAAGAGAAUUAAGGGCCGCCUUUGGAACCGUAUUUCAUUUCCUUCAUUUAGUGAUUUGAAGGAAUUAGGGAACUUUGCAAGACUGAAAAUGAAGGAGAAAAUUCCACAUGUCGCAGAUUUGAAGAUGCACCCUCAAAAUAUCUAUAAUUGCGCUUUUCAUCAUCAAAAAAUUUCACAACGUGCUUACCGUUCAAGCGUGUAUCGCACAGGGUGGUUUGAUUGCAAAAUUAUCUGAGUUUUGUCGCCGAGAUCCAGUCCAGGCAUAUCUCUUUCACUUCCGGUCGACUCUGUUACUCGUCCAACAAGGUGCUCAACGUGGGACGUGAUUUUGGCUUUUUCACUUGAGCUCUCCCAAUCCCACUGUCAAGUCUUACAGAUGCCAGAGACGCUACCACCAACGAGGGUGCUGGAGCUGACGCUGUUAUCUUGGAC